UACGUAGGGGCCCGAGCGUUGUCCGGAGUUACUGGGCGUAAAGCGCGCGCAGGCGGCUCGCUUUGCCCGGCGUGAAAGCCCCCGGCUCAACCGGGGAGGGUCGUCGGGGACGGGCGGGCUCGAGGCAGGUAGGGGAGAUUGGAAUUCCCGGUGUAGCGGUGAAAUGCGUAGAUAUCGAGAGGAACACCUGCGGCGAAGGCGGGUCUCUGGGCAUCUCCUGACGCUGAGGCGCGAAAGCGUGGGGAGCAAACGGGAUUAGAAACCCUUGU
This 269-nucleotide ribosomal RNA is filed under the name uncultured bacterium. Its description in RNAcentral is "partial 16S ribosomal RNA". It matches the Rfam family "Bacterial small subunit ribosomal RNA", at positions 524 to 791 of the family's 1533-position model. The record is from RNAcentral.